RNAcentral lists this ribosomal RNA (517 nucleotides) under uncultured bacterium. RNAcentral's name for it is "bacterial SSU rRNA". It matches the Rfam family "Bacterial small subunit ribosomal RNA", at positions 8 to 518 of the family's 1533-position model. The record is from RNAcentral.
AGAGUUGAUCCUGGCUCAGAACGACGCUGGCGGCGCGUUUAAGCAUGCAAGUCGAGCGGCAAGGGCCUUCGGGCCCUAGAGCGGCGGACGGGUGAGUAACACGUGGACAAUCUGCCCCCCGGCCCGGGAUAGCCCAGGGAAACCUGGAUUAAUACCGGAUGAGACGGGACCCGCGAUGGCGGGAUCCGGGAAAGGCGCUGCGGCGCCGCCGGGGGAUGAGUCUGCGUCCCAUUAGCUAGACGGCGGGGUAACGGCCCACCGUGGCGACGAUGGGUAGCCGGCCUGAGAGGGUGGACGGCCACAUUGGAACUGAGACACGGUCCAGACUCCUACGGGAGGCAGCAGCUAAGAAUCUUCCGCAAUGGGCGAAAGCCUGACGGAGCCGACGCCGCGUGAACGAAGAAGGCCGUGAGGUUGUAAAGUUCUUUUCGGGAGGGGGAACAACCGUGGCAGGGAAUGGCCGCGGGAUGACGUGAAUCCCGGAAUAAGCCCCGGCUAACUACGUGCCAGCCGCGGC